Molecule: ribosomal RNA, 428 nt
Filed under: Fusobacteriota bacterium
Lineage: Bacteria; Fusobacteriati; Fusobacteriota
Description: Fusobacteria bacterium partial 16S ribosomal RNA
Rfam family: Bacterial small subunit ribosomal RNA
Source: RNAcentral
UGGGGAAUCUUGCGCAAUGGGCGAAAGCCUGACGCAGCGACGCCGCGUGAGUGAUGAAGGCCUUCGGGUUGUAAAGCUCUGUGGAGGGGGACGAAUAAGGGCCGUCGAAUAGACGGCCCGAUGACGGUACCCCUUUAGCAAGCACCGGCUAACUCUGUGCCAGCAGCCGCGGUAAGACAGAGGGUGCAAACGUUGUUCGGAAUUACUGGGCGUAAAGCGCGUGUAGGCGGCCCGGCAAGUCGGGUGUGAAAGCCCUGGGCUUAACCUAGGAAGUGCACUCGAAACUGCCAAGCUUGAGUUCUGGAGAGGAAGGCGGAAUUCUCGGUGUAGAGGUGAAAUUCGUAGAUAUCGAGAGGAACACCGGUGGCGAAGGCGGCCUUCUGGACAGCAACUGACGCUGAGACGCGAAAGCGUGGGGAGCAAACAGG